GUGAAUCAUCAAAUUUUUGAACGCAAAUUGCACUUUCUGGUAUUCCGGAAAGUAUGCCUGUUUGAGGGUCAGUUAAAUAAAAAUCGGCGUUGUUGCUGCUUUUCGUGGUGACGCGUCGGAAUUGAGUCGUAUUACCUUCGGGUAAGUGACUUAAACUUUUUGCAUGGUUUUCGAACGUAUUUAAAUCGUUUACGUGCGUUUGAGAUAUCGAAUGCUUAUUAUGUUCGGUCAUCCUCAUGACCGGCGGCUAUCAUUUUUUCAUUAAAUUACCUCAAAUC
This 278-nucleotide unclassified non-coding RNA is filed under the name Glomeraceae sp. RNAcentral's name for it is "partial contains 5.8S ribosomal RNA and internal transcribed spacer 2". The stretch from base 1 to 71 matches the Rfam family "5.8S ribosomal RNA", at positions 84 to 154 of the family's 154-position model. Lineage: Eukaryota; Fungi; Glomeromycota; Glomeromycetes; Glomerales; Glomeraceae. The record is from RNAcentral.